This 360-nucleotide ribosomal RNA is filed under the name Triticum aestivum (bread wheat). RNAcentral's name for it is "partial small subunit ribosomal RNA". The record is from RNAcentral. Lineage: Eukaryota; Viridiplantae; Streptophyta; Magnoliopsida; Poales; Poaceae.
AUGGUCUUCGGCUAUACUCCUAGUCGAUAUGCUCUUUCGGCUAUACUCGAGCCUACGUCUUAUCGCGAUGCUCUUGUUCAUCCUGAAUGGCAGUUUGCGAUGGCAGAGGAGCUUGCUGCUCUUGAGCGUACCGGCACGUGGGAUCUUGUUUCUCUUCCUCCCGGUGUUCGUCCCAUCACUUGUAAGUGGGUCUACAAGGUUAAGACUCGCUCUGAUGGUUCUCUUGAGCGUUACAAAGCUCGUCUUGUGGCUCGUGGUUUUCAGCAGGAGCAUGGUCGUGAUUACGAUGAGACAUUUGCUCCUGUGGCCCAUAUGACCACUAUCCGCACACUUCUCGCUGUGGCCUCUAUUCGUCAUUGA